AGUGAACGCUGGCGGUAGGCCUAACACAUGCAAGUCGAACGGCAGCACAGUAAGAGCUUGCUCUUACGGGUGGCGAGUGGCGGACGGGUGCGGAAUACAUCGGAAUCUACUUUUUCGUGGGGGAUAACGUAGGGAAACUUACGCUAAUACCGCAUACGACCUACGGGUGAAAGCAUGGGAUCUUCGGACCUUGCGCGAGUGAAUGAGCCGAUGUCGGAUUAGCUAGUUGGCGGGGUAAAGGCCCACCAAGGCGACGAUCCGUAGCUGGUCUGAGAGGAUGAUCAGCCACACUGGAACUGAGACACGGUCCAGACUCCUACGGGAGGCAGCAGUGGGGAAUAUUGGACCAUGGGCGCAAGCCUGAUCCAGCCAUACCGCGUGGGUGAAGAAGGCCUUCCGGUUGUAAAGCCCUUUUGUUGGGAAAGAAAAGCAGCAGGUUAAUACCCCGCUGUUCUGACGGUACCCAAAGAAUAAGCACCGGCUAACUUCGUG
This 492-nucleotide ribosomal RNA is filed under the name uncultured bacterium. RNAcentral describes it as "partial 16S ribosomal RNA". It matches the Rfam family "Bacterial small subunit ribosomal RNA", at positions 29 to 507 of the family's 1533-position model. The record is from RNAcentral.